UGGGCUAUAGCCAAGCGGUAAGGCAUCGCACUUUGACUGCGACAGGCGUUGGUUCGAAUCCAGCUAGCCCAG
Molecule: transfer RNA, 72 nt
Filed under: Rossellomorea vietnamensis
Lineage: Bacteria; Bacillati; Bacillota; Bacilli; Caryophanales; Bacillaceae
Description: Bacillus vietnamensis tRNA
Rfam family: tRNA
About the family: Transfer RNA (tRNA) molecules are approximately 80 nucleotides in length. Their secondary structure includes four short double-helical elements and three loops (D, anti-codon, and T loops). Further hydrogen bonds mediate the characteristic L-shaped molecular structure. tRNAs have two regions of fundamental functional importance: the anti-codon, which is responsible for specific mRNA codon recognition, and the 3' end, to which the tRNAs corresponding amino acid is attached (by aminoacyl-tRNA synthetases). tRNAs cope with the degeneracy of the genetic code in two manners: having more than one tRNA (with a specific anti-codon) for a particular amino acid; and 'wobble' base-pairing, i.e. permitting non-standard base-pairing at the 3rd anti-codon position.
Source: Rfam by way of RNAcentral